AUGAUGUUUCCACAAAGCCGACACUCGGUACGGCGGCACCGGGAGGAGCGAGGAAGGAAGGAAGGAAGGAAGGAGGGAAGGACGGGGGGGAGCACCGAGAGCCGCCCCCUGCCCGCCCGCAGCCACCGGGAACCGGAGCGGGGGGUGCGGGUGACCUUGGGCGGCGGCGGGCUGCGGUGGGGGGGCGGGCAGGGCUGCGGGCCCCCCAUUGGGUGUGCAGCGCUGUGUGUGUUGUUCAAGGGCUCCUCUCACCUGCCGCAGCAGCUCAAGUUCACCACCUCCGACUCGUGCGACCGCAUCAAGGACGAGUUCCAGCUCCUGCAGGCCCAGUAUCACAGGUACGUGCCGGUACCGCCCCCACCGACCGCCCCGAGCAUCCCGGGGGGGUCCGCAGUGCGCCCGGAGCUGGGAUCCUCCGCUUUGGCAUCGCUGCCCUGCACGGACCGGGACGCAGCGUGGCCAAGAGAUGGGCUCCGUGCGGCACGACGCGCUGCCCUCCCAGCCCAGCACAGGUUUACCCCCAGGCUCAGCCUCCCCAGGCCGGUAUCACCUCCAGGUCCCACCUGGAGGACCGAUGUGAGCAUCCCAAGGAGGGGGGGGGGACGCCCGGUGUGCACCCAUUGCUGCCUUCCUUUCCUUUGGCCACGCAGUUCGGCCCAGAGUUGGCCAAAAGCUGCAAUCCAGGCAGGGAACGCUCUGCUCACUGCCCAAAAGGUGGGAUUCUGGAAGGAGAAGGAAGGAGAACGCUCUGCCUCCCCCACAGCCAGGUCUUACCCCAAUGCAGGACUCCAUGCACAGCUCUUCCAUCCCUCCAUCCAUGCACAGCUCUUCCAUCCCUCCAUCCAUGCACAGCUCUUCCAUCCCUCCAUCCCUGUGCAGCUCUUCCAUCCCUCCAUCCAUGCACAGCUCUUCCAUCCCUCCAUCCCUGUGCAGCUCUUCCAUCCCUCCAUCCAUGUGCUGCUCUUCCAUCCCUCCAUCCCUGUGCAGCUCUUCCAUCCCUCCAUCCCUGUGCAGCUCUUCCAUCCCUCCAUCCAUGUGCUGCUCUUUCAUCCCUCCAUCCAUGUGCAGCUCUUCCAUCCCUCCAUCCAUGUGCAGCUCUUCCAGCCCUCCCUCCUCUCGCUGGGAGUUUUCCUCCCCUCUCCCUGCUGGCUGCCAUUCUUGGCUCACAAAUGCUGCAGGGAGCACUUAAAGCCAAAUGCUUCCGCUUUUCCGCCUGCGGAAUGGCUUCUGCUGACCCAAAAGCUGGCUGCCGAUGGGCUCUCUUGCUGUUUGCUUCCUAGCUGCACGCAUGCACCAAACCAUUGCUCCGUGUGUUGCCCUUUCCCUAUUGCUCCCACCUCCCCGAGCUCUGCAUCGUGCAGCAUUGUGGCCCCCCCUUGCAGGACCCGAUCUGCUCACAGAGCAGCAGGUUUGGUGGAGGUGAAGCUGUUUCUUGUUUGA
RNAcentral lists this long non-coding RNA (1440 nucleotides) under Coturnix japonica (Japanese quail). RNAcentral's name for it is "lncRNA (ENSCJPG00005009734.1)". Lineage: Eukaryota; Metazoa; Chordata; Aves; Galliformes; Phasianidae. The record is from RNAcentral.